GACGAACCGAGCGAACGUUGUUCGGAAUCACUGGGCUUAAAGGGCGCGUAGGCGGGUGCUCAAGUCCGGGGUGAAAUCCCACAGCUCAACUGUGGAACUGCCUCGGAUACUGGGUGUCUCGAGGGUGGCAGGGGUAUGCGGAACUAUCGGUGGAGCGGUGAAAUGCGUUGAUAUCGAUAGGAACUCCGGUGGCGAAGGCGGCAUACUGGUCCACUUCUGACGCUGAGGCGCGAAAGCCAGGGGAGCAAACGGG
This 253-nucleotide ribosomal RNA is filed under the name uncultured bacterium. Its description in RNAcentral is "partial 16S ribosomal RNA". It matches the Rfam family "Bacterial small subunit ribosomal RNA", at positions 524 to 776 of the family's 1533-position model. The record is from RNAcentral.